GUUCUAGCGCGUGUUCCACGUGCUCACAGUGAUGCACACGUCCUGCAGGCCGGUCGUAGCCCGUGUGCAGGCGACGGUUGAUUCACGGGGCACUUUUCUGCCACAGCGGAGCAGAUGCUGCUGUGUGCUCCAUCUGCUCCUCCUGUUGGAGGAGAGUGCGCCUGCCUCAGCGGAGCAGAGAGCAGCAUGAGCGACAUCAGGAGCACAGAGAAACGCUGAACGAUAUGAACUAAUGUUAGAAGACACAAUGGACAACAUCCACAGCAUCAAGCUCCAGGUUGAUAGAAGCCUCAUUAUCAACCUAAAAGUCUGGCUCGCUUAAAUGCACCCAAAGAAGACACUCGGAAACCUUUGACAGAGC
Long non-coding RNA from Betta splendens (Siamese fighting fish), 361 nucleotides. RefSeq lists it as uncharacterized. The transcript is spliced from 3 exons. NCBI's taxonomy places the organism in Eukaryota, Metazoa, Chordata, Actinopteri, Anabantiformes, Osphronemidae. The record is from RefSeq and is a predicted model, not a curated record.